Molecule: long non-coding RNA, 668 nt
Filed under: Homo sapiens (human)
Lineage: Eukaryota; Metazoa; Chordata; Mammalia; Primates; Hominidae
Description: HSALNT0024873
Source: RNAcentral
AGCUGGGGCCGGGCUUCGGCGCAGAGGCAGGAAGAGGAAGCGGCACCCGCUUCGGGGACCCAGCCGGCGGCCAGGCCACCGCGCCCACCCGGCCGAUGGCACCGUGUUCCUGCGCCUCGGGAGGGAGGAGGCUCUGCGCGGGACUGCAGGUUCUGCCCCGCAUCGGAGUGAUCGCUGAGCCUGACGCUCUCGAAGGCUGGGCCUGGGGCCCGCAAUCUACUCCGGAGGCUUUCCCACUGGGCAGGGUCGCUAGCAGGGUGCCACCCGGGUGCAGUGAGGACCUGGAGCCCCUGCCCCAGGCUGUGAGGAGACUUGACCAGAGCUGCCUGAAUGCUCCACGGAGCAGGAGGAAGCAUUCCCAUGUGAAAGAUGAGCUCCCUAUAAAAGCAACGCUCUUAUCAUCGAGAACAGAAAGUUGAAGCCAAGAGAGAGCUCCACAAGCUGACCUUGUUAAACUAACCCUUAUCUUCUUAGUCGCUUCUUUACCCAAUUAACUACCCUAGCCGAAGCCCCUUUGCCUUAUUACAUUUUGCAACAGUGUUCGUUGUCCAAUUCAGUAUACAAGUGAGUGACUCUGGAUGCUUUUUGGGGUCUUCGUUUCCUUAUGAGGGCUUCUGUGCCAUGUAAAACUUGUAUUAAAUAAAUUUGUAUGCUUUUCUCCUGUUAAU